Long non-coding RNA from Pristis pectinata (smalltooth sawfish), 305 nucleotides. RefSeq lists it as uncharacterized. NCBI's taxonomy places the organism in Eukaryota, Metazoa, Chordata, Chondrichthyes, Rhinopristiformes, Pristidae. The transcript has 3 exons. The record is from RefSeq and is a predicted model, not a curated record.
UGAACAGUAAAUAUCGAGCCUGCAUGUAGGGUCAUGUAAAGUUACAAUGACUCAAACCCAGCAAGGGGCACUCCACCCCUUGUGGAAUGGUUCUUGUUACAAGAAGUUGCAGUGGAGUCUACUGCCUUUAGUUCACUUGGAGUUUGAAGUGUAUAAGAUUACAAGAGGGCUGGACAGGAAGCAUGUAUUACCCCUCGGAGUCAAAUAAUUAAGUGUACUUCAAGGCAUAAAAAAUGCGACGAUGCUGGAGGAACUCAGCAGGCCAGGCAGCAUCCAUGGAGAAAAGCAGGCAGUCAACGUUUCAG